UUAGAGUUUGAUCCUGGCUCAGGAUGAACGCUAGCUACAGGCUUAACACAUGCAAGUCGAGGGGAAACGACAUCGAAAGCUUGCUUUUGAUGGGCGUCGACCGGCGCACGGGUGAGUAACGCGUAUCCAACCUGCCCAUCACUUGGGGAUAACCUUGCGAAAGUAAGACUAAUACCCAAUGACGUCUCUAGAAGACAUCUGAAAGAGAUUAAAGAUUUAUCGGUGAUGGAUGGGGAUGCGUCUGAUUAGCUUGUUGGCGGGGUAACGGCCCACCAAGGCGACGAUCAGUAGGGGUUCUGAGAGGAAGGUCCCCCACAUUGGAACUGAGACACGGUCCAAACUCCUACGGGAGGCAGCAGUGAGGAAUAUUGGUCAAUGGACGAGAGUCUGAACCAGCCAAGUAGCGUGCAGGAAGACGGCCCUAUGGGUUGUAAACUGCUUUUAUAAGGGAAUAAAGUGAGUCUCGUGAGACUUUUUGCAUGUACCUUAUGAAUAAGGACCGGCUAAUUCCGUGCCAGCAGCCGCGGUAAUACGGAAGGUCCGGGCGUUAUCCGGAUUUAUUGGGUUUAAAGGGAGCGUAGGCCGGAGAUUAAGCGUGUUGUGAAAUGUAGAUGCUCAACAUCUGAACUGCAGCGCGAACUGGUUUCCUUGAGUACGCACAAAGUGGGCGGAAUUCGUGGUGUAGCGGUGAAAUGCUUAGAUAUCACGAAGAACUCCGAUUGCGAAGGCAGCUCACUGGAGCGCAACUGACGCUGAAGCUCGAAAGUGCGGGUAUCGAACAGGAUUAGAUACCCUGGUAGUCCGCACGGUAAACGAUGGAUGCCCGCUGUUGGUCUGAAUAGGUCAGCGGCCAAGCGAAAGCAUUAAGCAUCCCACCUGGGGAGUACGCCGGCAACGGUG
RNAcentral lists this ribosomal RNA (900 nucleotides) under uncultured bacterium. RNAcentral describes it as "bacterial SSU rRNA". It matches the Rfam family "Bacterial small subunit ribosomal RNA", at positions 1 to 896 of the family's 1533-position model. The record is from RNAcentral.